This 492-nucleotide ribosomal RNA is filed under the name uncultured bacterium. RNAcentral describes it as "partial 16S ribosomal RNA". It matches the Rfam family "Bacterial small subunit ribosomal RNA", at positions 29 to 507 of the family's 1533-position model. The record is from RNAcentral.
AGUGAACGCUGGCGGUAGGCCUAACACAUGCAAGUCGAACGGCAGCACAGUAAGAGCUUGCCCUUACGGGUGGCGAGUGGCGGACGGGUGAGGAAUACAUCGGAAUCUACUUUUUCGUGGGGGAUAACGUAGGGAAACUUACGCUAAUACCGCAUACGACCUACGGGUGAAAGCAGGGGAUCUUCGGACCUUGCGCGAUUGAAUGAGCCGAUGUCGGAUUAGCUAGUUGGCGGGGUAAAGGCCCACCAAGGCGACGAUCCGUAGCUGGUCUGAGAGGAUGAUCAGCCACACUGGAACUGAGACACGGUCCAGACUCCUACGGGAGGCAGCAGUGGGGAAUAUUGGACAAAGGGCGCAAGCCUGAUCCAGCCAUACCGCGUGGGUGAAGAGGGCCUUCGGGUUGUAAAGCCCUUUUGUUGGGAAAGAAAAGCAGCAGGUUAAUACCCCGCUGUUCUGACGGUACCCAAAGAAUAAGCACCGGCUAACUUCGUG